This 112-nucleotide ribosomal RNA is filed under the name uncultured bacterium. Its description in RNAcentral is "partial 16S ribosomal RNA". It matches the Rfam family "Bacterial small subunit ribosomal RNA", at positions 1360 to 1482 of the family's 1533-position model. The record is from RNAcentral.
CGGUGAAUACGUUCCCGGGUCUUGUACACACCGCCCGGUCACACCAUGGAAGUCGGUUCUGCCUUAAGCCGGCCCUUAAAAAGCGUCCACGGCAGGGUCGAUGACUGGGGUG